UACAGAGGAUGCGAGCGUUAUCCGGAUUUAUUGGGUUUAAAGGGUGCGUAGGCGGAAUAUCAAGUCAGCGGUAAAAAUUCGGGGCUCAACCCCGUCGUGCCGUUGAAACUGAUGUUCUUGAGUGGGCGAGAAGUAUGCGGAAUGCGUGGUGUAGCGGUGAAAUGCAUAGAUAUCACGCAGAACUCCGAUUGCGAAGGCAGCAUACCGGCGCCCAACUGACGCUGAAGCACGAAAGCGUGGGUAUCGAACAGG
RNAcentral lists this ribosomal RNA (252 nucleotides) under uncultured bacterium. RNAcentral's name for it is "partial 16S ribosomal RNA". It matches the Rfam family "Bacterial small subunit ribosomal RNA", at positions 524 to 776 of the family's 1533-position model. The record is from RNAcentral.